AAUAAACGAAUAAACAAAUAGUAUCGCAACAUGCAAUCCGAACAGGAAAUGUCCAAAUUCCGUUGGUCCGUUUCCUCGGGGAAAGAACUGUGUGUCGAUAUGGAGAUCGCAGAUACAGAGCCGAAUGUUAAUUUGUAGCUGACCAGUAAGGUAUGUUUAAACAGCUUGUCUUUAAGAAGAUCCACAUAGCAGAUACACAGGACAAGAUGUUACAUCCCAUACGUAUAUUACAAGGACUAUGCACAAGGUCCCAGUCCAACCGACCCGCCAUGAUGCCAAGCGUGAAGUCCUUCAAUUCUACUGGGUAAAGAGUACAAGUAGAGAUGAACUG
RNAcentral lists this long non-coding RNA (331 nucleotides) under Scleropages formosus (Asian bonytongue). Its description in RNAcentral is "lncRNA (ENSSFOG00015030704.1)". Lineage: Eukaryota; Metazoa; Chordata; Actinopteri; Osteoglossiformes; Osteoglossidae. The record is from RNAcentral.